This 1554-nucleotide ribosomal RNA is filed under the name Staphylococcus aureus. RNAcentral describes it as "16S ribosomal RNA". It matches the Rfam family "Bacterial small subunit ribosomal RNA". Lineage: Bacteria; Bacillati; Bacillota; Bacilli; Caryophanales; Staphylococcaceae. The record is from RNAcentral.
UUUAUGGAGAGUUUGAUCCUGGCUCAGGAUGAACGCUGGCGGCGUGCCUAAUACAUGCAAGUCGAGCGAACGGACGAGAAGCUUGCUUCUCUGAUGUUAGCGGCGGACGGGUGAGUAACACGUGGAUAACCUACCUAUAAGACUGGGAUAACUUCGGGAAACCGGAGCUAAUACCGGAUAAUAUUUUGAACCGCAUGGUUCAAAAGUGAAAGACGGUCUUGCUGUCACUUAUAGAUGGAUCCGCGCUGCAUUAGCUGGUUGGUAAGGUAACGGCUUACCAAGGCAACGAUGCAUAGCCGACCUGAGAGGGUGAUCGGCCACACUGGAACUGAGACACGGUCCAGACUCCUACGGGAGGCAGCAGUAGGGAAUCUUCCGCAAUGGGCGAAAGCCUGACGGAGCAACGCCGCGUGAGUGAUGAAGGUCUUCGGAUCGUAAAACUCUGUUAUUAGGGAAGAACAUAUGUGUAAGUAACUGUGCACAUCUUGACGGUACCUAAUCAGAAAGCCACGGCUAACUACGUGCCAGCAGCCGCGGUAAUACGUAGGUGGCAAGCGUUAUCCGGAAUUAUUGGGCGUAAAGCGCGCGUAGGCGGUUUUUUAAGUCUGAUGUGAAAGCCCACGGCUCAACCGUGGAGGGUCAUUGGAAACUGGAAAACUUGAGUGCAGAAGAGGAAAGUGGAAUUCCAUGUGUAGCGGUGAAAUGCGCAGAGAUAUGGAGGAACACCAGUGGCGAAGGCGACUUUCUGGUCUGUAACUGACGCUGAUGUGCGAAAGCGUGGGGAUCAAACAGGAUUAGAUACCCUGGUAGUCCACGCCGUAAACGAUGAGUGCUAAGUGUUAGGGGGUUUCCGCCCCUUAGUGCUGCAGCUAACGCAUUAAGCACUCCGCCUGGGGAGUACGACCGCAAGGUUGAAACUCAAAGGAAUUGACGGGGACCCGCACAAGCGGUGGAGCAUGUGGUUUAAUUCGAAGCAACGCGAAGAACCUUACCAAAUCUUGACAUCCUUUGACAACUCUAGAGAUAGAGCUUUCCCCUUCGGGGGACAAAGUGACAGGUGGUGCAUGGUUGUCGUCAGCUCGUGUCGUGAGAUGUUGGGUUAAGUCCCGCAACGAGCGCAACCCUUAAGCUUAGUUGCCAUCAUUAAGUUGGGCACUCUAAGUUGACUGCCGGUGACAAACCGGAGGAAGGUGGGGAUGACGUCAAAUCAUCAUGCCCCUUAUGAUUUGGGCUACACACGUGCUACAAUGGACAAUACAAAGGGCAGCGAAACCGCGAGGUCAAGCAAAUCCCAUAAAGUUGUUCUCAGUUCGGAUUGUAGUCUGCAACUCGACUACAUGAAGCUGGAAUCGCUAGUAAUCGUAGAUCAGCAUGCUACGGUGAAUACGUUCCCGGGUCUUGUACACACCGCCCGUCACACCACGAGAGUUUGUAACACCCGAAGCCGGUGGAGUAACCUUUUAGGAGCUAGCCGUCGAAGGUGGGACAAAUGAUUGGGGUGAAGUCGUAACAAGGUAGCCGUAUCGGAAGGUGCGGCUGGAUCACCUCCUUUCU